GAUGAACGCUGGCGGCGUGCCUAAUACAUGCAAGUCGAACGCAGUGGGGACGGGUGAGUAACACGCGGCUAACCUCCCAUCAGAGGGGAUAACACUUGGAAACAGGUGCUAAACCGAUACCGAUGGAUGGACCUGCGGUGCAUUAGCUAGUUGAGGAGGUAACGGCUCACCAAGGCCACGAUGCAUAGCCGGCCUGAGAGGGUGAUCGGCAAAACGGGAACGGAGACAGGGACCAGACUCCAACGGGAGGAAGCAGUAGGGAAACUUCGGAAAUGGAGGAAAGUCUAACCAGGCAACGCCGCGGGGGUGAAGAGGGUUUUCGGAUCGUAAAACUCGGUUGUUAGGGAAGCGGUAUCUAACCAGAAAGCCACGGCUAACUACGUGCCAGCAGCCGCGGUAAUUC
RNAcentral lists this ribosomal RNA (403 nucleotides) under uncultured bacterium. RNAcentral describes it as "partial 16S ribosomal RNA". It matches the Rfam family "Bacterial small subunit ribosomal RNA", at positions 28 to 526 of the family's 1533-position model. The record is from RNAcentral.